ACAAAAAGGACAAGUCUGACAAAGCACGAGUCUGACAAAAAGCACGAGUCAAAGGACAAAGACGGCAAGAAGGACAAGAAUAAAACAAAGGGACAUAAGGAGCAUAAAGAGCAUAAGGAGCACAAGGAAGGUGAAGGAUCAGGCAACUCAUCUUCAUCUUCAUCAUCCUCAUCUUCAUCCUCCAGCAGUGAUGAGGAGUGAUGCUUCCUGGGAGAGCGGACGGCUCCGUCAGUCUCUGAUGAUCUUGUCUAAGUAGACGUGCGGGGUUGAGUGUGCAGCAGGAGCAACUUUUCUUCAUGUCCUUUCAUUGGCAUCACAGAAACAUGCUGGUCUUGUGUAAACAAAUCUGCUGAUUCCUAGAAGUAAAUGUUUUGACAACAGAAAACCUGCAGGAGUUUUUCCCCCCCCCCAUUCUUCUGUCAAGUAAAGUGUUUUCUUCACCACAA
Molecule: long non-coding RNA, 446 nt
Organism: Cottoperca gobio
Lineage: Eukaryota; Metazoa; Chordata; Actinopteri; Perciformes; Bovichtidae
Exons: 2
Source: RefSeq, a predicted model, not a curated record